This 69-nucleotide transfer RNA is filed under the name Brookesia sp. Betampona. RNAcentral describes it as "tRNA-Gln". The record is from RNAcentral. Lineage: Eukaryota; Metazoa; Chordata; Lepidosauria; Squamata; Chamaeleonidae.
AGCAGAGAAGGAGUUGAACCAACAUCAAAAAACUCAAAAUUUUACGCAUUUCUUUUAUGCUAUCUACUA